RNAcentral lists this ribosomal RNA (274 nucleotides) under uncultured bacterium. RNAcentral's name for it is "partial 16S ribosomal RNA". It matches the Rfam family "Bacterial small subunit ribosomal RNA", at positions 523 to 796 of the family's 1533-position model. The record is from RNAcentral.
AGACGAACCGUACGAACGUUAUUCGGAAUCACUGGGCUUAAAGGGUGCGUAGGCGGCAUGGCAAGUUGGGUGUGAAAUCCCUCGGCUCAACCGAGGAAUGGCGCCCAAAACUGCCUUGCUUGAGGGAGAUAGAGGUGAGCGGAACUACGGGUGGAGCGGUGAAAUGCGUUGAUAUCCGUAGGAACACCGGUGGCGAAAGCGGCUCACUGGGUCUCUUCUGACGCUGAGGCACGAAAGCUAGGGUAGCGAACGGGAUUAGAAACCCCGGUAGUCC